This 1233-nucleotide long non-coding RNA is filed under the name Sphaeramia orbicularis (orbiculate cardinalfish). Its description in RNAcentral is "lncRNA (ENSSORG00005007115.1)". The record is from RNAcentral. Lineage: Eukaryota; Metazoa; Chordata; Actinopteri; Kurtiformes; Apogonidae.
AUGACGUCCAAGUCUUUUCGGCGGCUUUUCCCGCAGCUCAACGUGCAGUCCAUCCCAGAGGACGAGUUCUAUCGGCAGGCGUCGCUGUCGCAGCUUCUGACCGGUCCAGACGAGCAGGAGCUGGCCUCCUUCCGGCCUGAUGUGAAGGAUCCUCUGGAGCUGGUGGAGGCCACCCCGGAGCUGGCCGGCAUGCUCGGAUCUUCCCUGGAAUUUGUGGACAGUCGCUGGGAUUCAAUGGAAGCUUCUCCUCCAGCAACACCACCCCCACCGGCAUCACCUGCACCGGUGCUACAUAUUCCGGUGUCAUUACCGAACAGCCGAACAGCGGAUCCUGGCACUAAAGUCGACAAAGGUUUGGAAGACAGAAGUGCGGCCUUGGUGCAAGGGCCUAAAAAUCUGGGAAGUUCUACAGCAGAACCAGCGAAAACGGAAACCAAAAUCGAUGCUAGAACAUGGGAAUCACAUCCGCAAGGAAAUAAAAAUAUUCCUUCUCUUGCAAAUCCUAGUGUUAUACUGAACGCAAACAUAUGGGAACCACAGAAACUACGAAGCAAGACCACGGCACUGAAUAAUCCAGACUCUAAACUAGACUCUAGUGCUUGGGAGCCGCAACAACACAAAAACAAAACCUCCAGCAGCAUUCCUGACACAACGACUGGUGCUAACAUGUGGGAACCACAGCGAUUACGAAGUCGGAACACCGUGACCACAAAUACUGUGACCUCUGAUGCCAAGGUGGACCCUGAACCACAGCGACUGCGAAGUAAAACCACUGGAAAUCCUGUGAAUUCUAACGGGAAAGUGAACGCUAACGUUUGGAAACAACAAAAUCAGGGUGGAAAGAACGGAGCAGUUUUAGUCUCCACAAAUGACGGCAGUGCUGUGGAUGGUAACAUUUGGGAACCUCAACGACUGAGAAGUAAGAACGCUGCAAUCAGCUGCUCUUCGAAGUCGGACUCUACAGCGGAUGCAAACAUUUGGGAACGCAAGGGAGUGAAGCGGCAAGUUGAGAACAGCACGGAAACAAAAAGAGAAGCUAGUUCAUUGGAAACCCAAACACUAGGACCUAAGACCUUUAAGUUGGAUGCCUCAUGGCCGAGGAACUUCGGCAACGUUCGCGUCCACAUCAGAGACCUUGGGUUGAGUGUUGGGAUAGGUAACAUACGAAAGGAUGUGAAGAAAGAGCAAGGCAAGGUUGUCGGGAAGACUUCCAGGAUUAAGAGCAGGUCAUGA